Molecule: long non-coding RNA, 730 nt
Filed under: Phascolarctos cinereus (koala)
Lineage: Eukaryota; Metazoa; Chordata; Mammalia; Diprotodontia; Phascolarctidae
Description: lncRNA (ENSPCIG00000015369.2)
Source: RNAcentral
UGAGAACCGGAAAGCAUUCAAGUAGGUCAUUUCAAGGAGUAUGACUGACAUUUAAUGGGUUAAAAUAAGCCCGUAAUGGUACCAUAAAACAGGGGUGCAAUCUUGGGUACCCAAGAGUGGCACUCUCUAUCAUCUACUUUACUUCCUGUAAAAGUUUACGGCACCCAACUUGCCUAAGCUGUCCUGCCAGAAAAGUUUCCGGAAAAGAUGACGUAGUGGAUGACCUGGCGCAAUAUGGCUGGCCAGGCUGUUGCUGGGGAAAUUUUUUGUAUGUAAUACGCAGUACGUUGCCGCAAUACGGCAGUGCGUUGCGGUAAAACGCGGUGAGGUAAUGGCUGCUGAGCUGGCAGCACGUUCCUGCUGUCCUUAACGUAAGGUCACGUUGGAAAACGGAAUGGUGUAAUCACGCUAGAAGCUGGCGCUUCUGGGAAAGAGGGCAAUGAGUCGGUGGUUUUUUAGAGGCCUGACCGCUAUCCUGUAAAACGCUUUUGUAGCAUAUUUCACCAAUUUUUUUCUGAUGCCGCUAUAUUGACAGUGUGUACCUUUCUUUCAGAAUCUAUAGAGAAGAACAGCGAUGUCCGAUGGGAUCUUGGAAGGUUGCCGGGAGUGUACAGAUCGGCAAUUGCAUCUUAGAUACGGACAUACGAAAUCUUUCAGGAGGAAGACAUUGGGAACUUGUUCUCAUUUAGGUGGCUACCAGUGGUUUGAUUGCAGCCAGGAGAGCCAGUGA